AGUGAACGCUGGCGGUAGGCCUAACACAUGCAAGUCGAACGGCAGCACAGUAAGAGCUUGCUCUUACGGGUGGCGAGUGGCGGACGGGGGGGGAAUACAUCGGAAUCUACUUUUUCGUGGGGGAUAACGUAGGGAAACUUACGCUAAUACCGCAUACGACCUACGGGUGAAAGCAGGGGAUCUUCGGACCUUGCGCGAUUGAAUGAGCCGAUGUCGGAUUAGCUAGUUGGCGGGGUAAAGGCCCUCCAAGGCGACGAUCCGUAGCUGGUCUGAGAGGAUGAUCAGCCACACUGGAACUGAGACACGGUCCAGACUCCUACGGGAGGCAGCAGUGGGGAAUAUUGGACAAUGGGCGCAAGCCUGAUCCAGCCAUACCGCGUGGGUGAAGAAGGCCUUCGGGUUGUAAAGCCCUUUUGUUGGGAAAGAAAAGCAGCAGGUUAAUACCCCGCUGUUCUGACGGUACCCAAAGAAUAAGCACCGGCUAACUUCGUG
RNAcentral lists this ribosomal RNA (492 nucleotides) under uncultured bacterium. RNAcentral's name for it is "partial 16S ribosomal RNA". It matches the Rfam family "Bacterial small subunit ribosomal RNA", at positions 29 to 507 of the family's 1533-position model. The record is from RNAcentral.